UACGGAGGGUGCAAGCGUUGUUCGGAAUUACUGGGCGUAAAGCGCGUGUAGGCGGCUGCCUAAGUCUGAUGUGAAAGCCCGAGGCUCAACCUCGGAACUGCCUUCGAUACUGGCGAUCUUGAGUCCGGGAGAGGUGAGUGGAACUCCGAGUGUAGAGGUGAAAUUCGUAGAUAUUCGGAAGAACACCAGUGGCGAAGGCGGCUCACUGGCCCGGUACUGACGCUGAGAUGCGAAAGCGUGGGGAGCAAACAGG
RNAcentral lists this ribosomal RNA (253 nucleotides) under uncultured bacterium. RNAcentral describes it as "partial 16S ribosomal RNA". It matches the Rfam family "Bacterial small subunit ribosomal RNA", at positions 524 to 776 of the family's 1533-position model. The record is from RNAcentral.